Molecule: unclassified non-coding RNA, 508 nt
Filed under: Hevea brasiliensis (rubber tree)
Lineage: Eukaryota; Viridiplantae; Streptophyta; Magnoliopsida; Malpighiales; Euphorbiaceae
Source: RNAcentral
UGAGUAGUCAUACAUAUAGAGAGAGUGAUAGAGAGAGACAGACAAAUACAUAAGAUAAAUAAAAGACAUUCAUAUAUGCAUAUAUUGUAUGAUAUGUCUGAAGAUGUUUUGGCUACAUUCUGAUGAGAAAAGGUCUCAAGAGAUUCUUUUUCAUGUAUGGUUAGUGCAUAACUUGAUAGUAUUAUUAUAUUUCGCUUUACACAAAGGAGGACAUGCUGAGCAAGCAGAACAUGUAUUGAAUAUCAUCUAGCAUAUUUUGUAUUGAUUCUGAAAGAGUUUUUUUAAUGGCAAGUCCAUUACUGCCAAAAACAUGUAUUUAAUGUUGGGGAAUCAUGGAUUCACCCUCUUGUUCACAACUCACCUUCUAAUGUGGACUUUUACACACACAGGCAGCACAUCAGAAGAAGUAAAACGAGUUGAUUCAGUCUUAUGACUAGUGAUCUUCCAAAACUUAAUGAAUUUUUUGAUAUAUUUUUCUCAUGUAGGAACCUCCAGUUUUUGGGAAGAG